This 4137-nucleotide long non-coding RNA is filed under the name Homo sapiens (human). Its description in RNAcentral is "non-protein coding lnc-IRAK4-5:2". The record is from RNAcentral. Lineage: Eukaryota; Metazoa; Chordata; Mammalia; Primates; Hominidae.
GACUGAGUGCCCGAGCGUCCCCGCCGCCCCGCCGCCCUUCCUGGCCGCCGGGCUGCGGUCCAGCCCCCGGCCUCGCUAUCCUAGUUCUCUGCUUGGGGUCCUGCUUCUGCUCUUGCCGCCGCCUCUCCCGCUUCUUCCGGGGGGGACAUGCCGCAGAAUCUAGACUGCUCAGUGCUCCGACGUCUGCUCUCUGACAACCCCGCCGACGCCGCCAUUCGCUGCCUCAGCAAAGGGGUGCUCAAAAACGGAAGUGAUCAUUUUACCAAAUAGGCAUUUUCCAGCUUAAAAAAGAUGUGCACAUUAUUUUUCUUGGUUUACUCUUCCUAUAAUCGAUACCGUUUAGUGUAGAAAAGCCUUCUCCUUGCUCCAUUGUUUUGAAAGAAUUAAUAUAGACUGCCUCUCAUCAAAUUUUUCCACGAUUUUAAAUUAAGUUAAUCUCAGACUGUUAACUUUUCUUUUCAGCUGGACACAUUUAGAGACUCAGUGUAUCUUUCUCUUCACUCCGGAAAGAGACAGCCACUAAGAGAUUAGCUGAUUUGAGUAUCCCUCUGUGGUCGAUUAUACCAUUGCAAAUCCUGCUCUGCUUUAGGUUGGCAGUUUAUUAUUUAAUCCAGUAAUUAUUCAAAAUUCACUUGGACAGAUUUGUAAGGUAGCAGCAGAUAUUACUUAAAAAUCUUUUCCUUUCCUGCUUUUACAAACAUGUAGUUCCUUCCUGAAAGGUAAUGUUAGUUUUGUGGGGGGUUUGGUUUUUUUUUGGUACUGCUUCUCUACUGCUACUAGGUGGGAAGCUAGUUCUUAUUUUUAGGGCCUUGAAGUGACACAUACACAAAAUUAUAAUCUGCUAAUGAAGAAAUAAUUUAUUCAGGUCAAUAAUAUAAGUGCAAGUUAAUCACUGUUCCAGUACUAUACGAUGUAUUUUUCAUGAGUGAUGAACAGGCCUGCAAUUGUUUUUCUUUACAAGAAUCACAGCAAACAAGGUUAUGUUCUAUUGCCUGUUAUCUGAGCUCUGUUUUUCAGACAUAUUCUCAUAUUCAGGAAUAAACUAAAUCUGAGUUUUAUGACUUGUAUGGAUUUAAGAAAUGUAGGGAGGAGUUUCAUUCUAAUCAAAUUCUUCCUGACACAAUGGUUCACCCUGAUUUACCAGUUUUUGACUACAUUGCUGAGCAGAGAGAAAAUUGCAGAGUUGACUUGCAGUAUUUUGACUGAUUCAUGUCCUAGUGCUUCGGGGAAAUUGCUUAAGGAAGUUGGCGUUGCUCAAAAGUAUAGUUGAGCAAAAUAUAAUCCUUCCAUAUUCGUGCUUGGGAAAGGCCACUGUAUUCUCAGUCCUGAAGAAGAGGAAUGUCUAGUUAGGUUGGGACCACCCUGACAGCCACCAGAAAGUGCUUAUUUACUGCCAGUACAAUAGUUUGACUUAAAAGCUGCAAGCGUCUUGGGUACCUUGCUCUGCUCUAGCCACAAAUAUUUUCCCACUUUUCUUCAUCUAUUGUGUCUCCAUUUAGUGAACAUUUGCCAGAGCUGUCAUGAGAAUAAUACCUUAGAUUUGUAUGGUAGUUUACAGUUUACAAAUAAUAUAUAAUAGACUUAUUUUGAGUACCAACAUCCUGUGUGACGAGCUGAAAAAAAUAGCAGGUUUUGUUUUUUAACUUUAAGAGGUUUGGAAAUUGAACCACAGAGUUGGGAAGUCAGCAGGUUUCAAGGCUAAGACAAGUGUCUGUAAGAAACAAACCAUUUGAAAACAAUGUAUGCAGAUAAGAGGGUUUAUUAUAAGGAUAUUGGAGGAUCUUAUAGAUCUUGACAACUUGGUUGUCACCUCUGCUUUUCUCUUCUUUUUCUCCAAAUAAGAUCUCUCUGCUUGUGCAGUCAAAAUGGCUGAAUAUGGCUACCCUACACUUUCCAAAUUGACAGGGUUGUAGCUGCAUGCAGAGAUUACAUAGCUCUUCUAAGUCCAAGUUUAAAGUUCCUAAGAGAAAGCACGUGAAUGACCCUGCUUGGCUUGUGUCAAAUCAUUCUUGGCCAAGGUGGCUGGUUUACCCAAUAUACACUGCCCAUGAGUGAAAGGCAAUUAUCACAGGAGGGGAGAUGGAUCUUGGGUGUGGGAAACAGGUGUAGAAUUCCUACUUUUUACAGUUUGGUAGAGGUAAUGUUUAGAACCUAAGAUGGUGGUCACAAAACACAAAUGCUUAUGGGGUCAGUUAAAUAACAUAAAUGAAUGAAGCUAAUAAAUGGAGACUGUGGCAAUGAGAGGGAGCACAGGAUCCAUCUAAAAUGAGCUACUACUAGGCCAAGUGGGAUGGCUGACACCUGUAGUCCCAGCUCUCAGGAGGCUGAUGUGGGAGGAUCACUUGAGUCCAGGAGGUAGAGGCUGCAAUGAGCCAUGAUCACCCCACUACACUCCAGCCUGGGCAACAGACCCUGUCUCAAAGGGGAGAAAAAAAAAAAAAAAAAAAAAAAGGAGCUACUACUACUCAAUUCAAUUCUGACUGACUGAUGCUCUGUGGGAAUUCAAGCGCAAGGUGACCAAUCUUAUGUUUUGCAAGUGAUGUCGGAAACUGGGAUUUUAUGUAAAAUCUCUAUUUCAAUUAUGUAGGAAAACAAAACAAAAAGAGAACUAUAACUGCAAGUCAGGUUUGACCUAUGAAAUGGUAGUUUAGGACUUCUGACCUAGAUCAUCUGUGUGGUCAAUUGCCAAAUAAUGACAUUUUAAAAUCACAGCGUCCAUAAAGUCUUUUUACCAUAGAAGAGACUAUGAUGCGUGCCACAUUAAUGUGAGCAGUAUACAUGUUUGUGUAUAGUGCAUAUACACAGGAAACUAAAAAAAUCAUUCAUCCAUCCAUCUUGUUUCUUCUCUGAAUUGAAACCUUUUUGAUAGAUUCAUUUCUUCUUUACUUGGUGAGGUAAUUAUAAAGAGCUGCACUAUUUGCGUUAGAUUUUCCUAGAGAAGAAACCCUGCUGUAAAAUUUUUAAAAACACAUAGAAGUUGUAUGACCAUGAACAACAUUAUUUAACCUAAGUCUCCAUUUUCUCUCUUGUUAUAUGUCAUACCCAUGUCUCAUGGUUGUCAUGAAAAUCAAGUGAAAUAUGACUUUAUGAAGCUCUAACAUGUAUGAAUGCUCAAUGUAUGUUAGGCUUCAUAUUUUGUUAGAAUUAAGUCUAACACAAUACAUUACAAUACAGUAUGAUUCAAAAUAAAAGGUCAUUUAAAACAGAGCAAAUGGAGUUAGAUUGAAUUUCCAAACCUCAAAAGCAACAAUCCAAAGUUGAUUUCUUAUAUAGGUUCAUAAAACCACAAUAUCGCUGGGCCCUGUGAACUGCUGUGUUUUGUGUAACACGUCCUUAGAUUUAUAAAGCAUUAAAUAAGAAAAGUAACCCUUUGGGUUAUAAAAAAUGAGGAUCAAGAAUUAAGCAACAUACCUUGACUGAAAUUAACUUUUAUUAUAUGCAUGUAAUUAUAACCCUCAACAAUUCACAAUAAACACCUGACAAGAUUGCUAAAACUCCUCACGAAAUGGAAUAUAUAAGAUAAAAUUCUUUCAUUCCUAUCGGACUCAGUGGUGCUUGAGAAAACAGAACAGAGAGUCUGGGUUAAGGAAUAGUUCAAGCAAAUGAUAUUUCUUUAUUAUUUUCCCAAGUAAAAUAUAGACUGAAGUAAUAUUAAUAAAUGAUACGUACUUUCCAAUGAAAGAAACAGGGAACACUUUGGUUCAAAAGAAUUGUUGAUAAUGAUAAGGAUGCAUAUUGGAAUCAAAGUGCAGGAAAGCACAAAGCAACCAGCUUUUUGAUGUAUUAUUUAUAGUGAGAUUUUCACCCUGGGUUGGAAAAGUGCCUUAGCAACAGCAUCUUGAAUCUCUUUCUCAUUAUCUCUAACAUGUCAUGUGGGGUAGGAUGGUUUAAAUGCCUAAUAGGAAUAUUUGCAAAUCACUUUGAACAUACUGCUUGCUCUCUUUCUCUGUUUCUCUGUCUUUGCUAGUGAUGCUAAUUAACACCCAAAAACCUUCCCUAACGUUUAAAUAGCAUGUACAGGAGAUAUUAUCUCAUACUGAGUCCACAAACGGGGACAACCUUCCUUGUCCUUUAUGUAUUUCUGUAAUCGCAACACAGGCCACUCCAGACUUUCCAUAUUAGAUAAAUUUAGGGCUG